UUUUCGUUUUUGAACACAUAUGAAUAUAGCACUUUAAGCUGUGGUCUAUAUACUAUGCACCCGUUUAAAUUAUUUCACUAUUAAUUAUUCUCUAUUUUAUUUUAAUCCAUUUUAAGAUUGGACACAUGAAUCGGUAAGAGUACAUGUGUCAUUUGAUCGAUACUUUAAGAUUUGUAUAUCAUGGUUUUUACAAUAUUUUGACUAUCAUAUCGUUUUAUAGUAUUUUUAAUUCUUUUACAAUCUUGUAUGAGUCAUUGAAGCUUUAGGUAUGAUUUGUAAUUGAAAAGAGCUUUUGGAGAAUUUUGGAGCUUAGAUAGAUUUAAAAUUGAAAAACGUAGGUUGGUAUCAAAAAAAAGGUACUGGUUUCAGUCGAUAUUGUGAUUACAACCAACCAAAGAGUUUUUAUAACUUUCCAAAAAUUGUAAAAUUAGCCAAAAUUUUUUUUUUUUAAUUGCAAAGAACUCCAAUUUGCUUUUAUAUUCUAUUUUUGGAUUUUAAAAAAUUUCAACAUAUUUUUAUCAUACUUUGGAGCAAGAGAUUUUGUAGAAGGAAGUCAGAACUCAUACUUUUGAGAAAAGAUUUUGAGCUCCUUUAAUUCUUACUCUUUGUUUAAUACAACUGUUUUAGAUAAUGAUUUAUGUUUCUGCCAUUAUGUCUAAGUAAUUCACUUAUUAGAUUAGGUAUUCGUCAAGGGUUAUUGAUGAAUUGUUAGAUUAAUCAUACAAUUAGGAUAAUCUUGUUGUUCUUUAUUCAUAUCUUCAUACAAAUGUUGAAUUAGACACUUGGAACUUAAAUCCUAGAAUAAUUAAUAGAUUUAAAAGUACUAUUGAUUUCCUUACAUGAAUCUUGAAUGACAAAAAAAAUCUUUCUCUAAAAGAAUUAUGUUUAGGUAUUUUUUGGAGCUGAUCAUACUCAUACGUAACACUUGUUUGGAUUGAUUAGAUUUUCAUAGAAAUUUAGAAUUCUUGAUUUAGAAUAAAUGAAAGUAAUAUUUAUAAAAGAUCCAAAUUGGAAUUACUUUUAGUGAAAAUUUAGGUCAAAUUAAUCAGUGUUUGAUAAUGUAGUGUGAUGAUUAGAAAUAAAUUGAAGAUGCAUUUGUUUGAUUAACCAAUUUUGAGUUUUGUAUUAAACACUAAAUAAAAAAUGUGUGUAAGAGAGAACGAUUUGUGAUUUGACAAAAUUAUGGAAACUUCAUUUUUUUUUGUCAAUUAACCUGGUCAUAACCAUAAUUAGAAACAAACCCAACCAUAAAAGUCAUAAUCAAACCUCACAACCCCCAUAAUGAAGCCAAUUAAACUUAAUGUCUCUUUAAUCAACUUAUAAUCUAAAUGACUAAUCUUUUGAGCCUAAAACUUACAAUUUUUAGAAAUUUCCAGCAGAGCUCAUUUGUCCUCAUAGCUAAAUUGCUCCCCCAACUUCAUAAGUUGUGUUUCGUAGCUAAAUUGCUCUUCUGACAUUGAGCUCACUCUCUGUCUCUCCCCUCCUGUCCAGACACUAACUCUACUGUUAGAUUUGAAAAACACUAACUCUACUGUUAGAUUUGAAAAGAAGGUUAGACCGAGGGUAUUCUGAGAGUCUCAUCUCUCGAGCAGUUAUCCAUCUCAACCAUCAAACAAACUCAUCUCUCACAGGUUCAUCAUCAUCAUCAGAGGAAAUGCCCUCUGCAUCCAUAGCUUGUUGGCCAGAGGAGGAUCAUGGUUCCACCUCUCCCGAUUCUGACCCACUGAGGACAUGCCCGAUGGUAACAUAGUGAGGGUUCUAAACUUUCUGAAGAAAACGUCUCAAGAAAUUUUGAAAGCAAAACAAUAUAGUUACAACAUACGACUGAAAGGAGUUUGUACCUUGCACUCUUUAGAUCACGAUGACAAAAAUUAGAUGAAAAUAAAACAGAAUACAUGUUAGAAUCACUACAAAAAAAAGUCUACAUUGAUAACAGAUUGUUAUAGCACGUUUUACUAAAUUGCUAUCGUAGAUCAUUUAAAAUAUUCAUGUAUUAUAUAAUAGCGCUAGAUAAGCGCUACGAUAGAGUUUCAGUAAAAUAGCGCUUGAUAAAUGCUAUCAUAGAUAAAAUUAUUGAUUCCGCCAAUACUUAACGGAAAAUUAGAUUUAAGCGCCAAAGACAUUAUUUAAGCGGUUUCAGUAAUGCUAUCAAAGACAUAUAAUAGCAUUUUUCUAACGCUAAGAAAAAUUAUUUGAACCCCUAAACCCCAAACAAGAUUUUAAACCAUAAACAAAGUUUUAAACCCUAAACUCUAAAGACAACCCAUAAAACUCUAAUCUUUUCAUAUUAUAACUUCAAAUCUUAAAAUUAAACUCAAAAUUUUAUCUUCUUAAUCGUAAACUAUAAUUUCCUAAACACAAAUCUUUAAUCUUUAAUCAAAUUCUAUAUCUCAAAUCCUAACUUCAAACAUAAACUAUACAUUCAAUACUCUAAAUAUAAACUUCAAAUCUACACUAUUAAAAAUUUAACUACAAAUCUUAUCUAGUCUUCAAAUCUAUUAUCUUACAACUUUAAUCCAAAAUACUAAACUUUAACCCUAAACCUCGUAUUCCAAUAUCCAAACCUUAAAUCACAAAACUAACUUUACUCUUAAUCAUAGUUUUUUAUAAUCCAUAAAAUCUAAUUUUUAUAAACCAUAAAAUCUAAUUUUUAUAUAUAUAUAAUAUUUAAAUUUUUACAUGUUAGAUUAAAAUUAAAAUAAUCAUCUUUUUAUAUAUAAAAUUAAAAUUAAAAUAAACUAAAAAGUGAAUAUAAUCAUUAAUCUCCCCAUUUUUAAUAGUUAAUUCAUUAAAUGGCGGAUUGUAAUCUGAACCGUUGAUUAGAUCUCAUCUAAUGGUCUAGAUUGAUCCAUCUAUGCUUCUUCCUCUAUCUCCAUGCUUCAUCUCCAUUGGUCAAUAUUUCUCACACUUGGAUUGCUAUCUCCAUUGUUCAUUAUCUCUAAUCCAAAGGUGCACAGUCUUAGUCACUUUAUUUAUUUUUAAUGUACUUUUCUCAUCUUCUCUUCUCCUCUCGCCGACAGGUUUUUACUUUUCUUACUUCAACCCAUUUUCAACAAAUCGAAGAAGAAGAACUGUUGGAGAAGAACACGAUGGUCUCCCAUUGAGGAAACCCCGCCUCUGUCGCUGUUGUGAAGGAAGCACUGUGACUCAUCUCUACUCUGUGACGUCUCCCUCCUUCACGGCAAGCACUCAUCUCAAAUGUUUGCUCUUGCUGAAAUCAAUUUGUGGUUUGGUUGAUGACAGAGGAAGCUAGUGCCCUCGUCUUCUCCUCUCUGCUCCUCCAACAAGACGAAAGAGAAAGAAGCAAACAAGAAGAGACAUCACCGUAACUUGCUCAGAUCAGGUUGGCCAGAGAGGAUGAAGAAGAAUACGCCGUGUAGGUGGUUGAGGUGGUGAAGGAAGAUGAAGAAGCUUAAUGGACGUGGUGUUGAUGGCGGCUGAGUUAGAUUUUUUGUAGGGUUAGAUUUUUUUUUGUUUAUCUGGUUUAGUGUAAACCUAAACCAAUUUGUAACUGUAAACCAAUGUAAUUGUAAACCAAAAUUCAAUUUAUAAAAUACCAAUUUAUUA
Molecule: long non-coding RNA, 3567 nt
Organism: Brassica napus (rape)
Lineage: Eukaryota; Viridiplantae; Streptophyta; Magnoliopsida; Brassicales; Brassicaceae
Exons: 2
Source: RefSeq, a predicted model, not a curated record